This 87-nucleotide ribosomal RNA is filed under the name Psychrobacillus sp. OK032. Its description in RNAcentral is "23S rRNA. Bacterial LSU". It matches the Rfam family "Bacterial large subunit ribosomal RNA", at positions 2837 to 2925 of the family's 2925-position model. Lineage: Bacteria; Bacillati; Bacillota; Bacilli; Caryophanales; Bacillaceae. The record is from RNAcentral.
CUCAAAGACGAUGAGGUAGAUAGGUUCGGGGUGGAAGCGUGGCGACACGUGCAGCUGACGAAUACUAAUCGAUCGAGGACUUAACCA